Molecule: ribosomal RNA, 248 nt
Filed under: uncultured Sphingomonadales bacterium
Lineage: Bacteria; Pseudomonadati; Pseudomonadota; Alphaproteobacteria; Sphingomonadales
Description: partial 16S ribosomal RNA
Rfam family: Bacterial small subunit ribosomal RNA
Source: RNAcentral
UUCGGAAUUACUGGGCGUACACGCGCACGUAUUCAGCUUUGUAAGUUAGAGGUGAUAGCCUGGAGCUCAACUCCAGAAUUGCCUUUAAGACUGCAUCGCUUGAAUCCAGGAGAGAUGAGUGGAAUUCCGAGUGUAAGGUGAAAUUCGUAGAUAUUCGGAAGAACACCAGUGGCGAAGGCGUCUCACUGGACUGGUAUUGACGCUGAGGUGCGAAAGCGUGGGGAGCAAACAGGAUUAAUACCCUGGUA